Molecule: ribosomal RNA, 206 nt
Filed under: uncultured bacterium
Lineage: Bacteria
Description: partial 16S ribosomal RNA
Rfam family: Bacterial small subunit ribosomal RNA
Source: RNAcentral
CGCGCAGGCGGUCGGAUAAGUCGAGUGUGAAAGCCCCUGGCUCAACCAGGGAGGGUCAUUCGAUACUGUUCGACUCGAAGGCAGGAGAGGGAAGUGGAAUUCCGGGUGUAGUGGUGAAAUGCGUAGAUAUCCGGAGGAACACCAGUGGCGAAGGCGACUUUCUGGCCUGUUCUUGACGCUGAGGCGCGAAAGCUAGGGAGCAAACG